This 584-nucleotide ribosomal RNA is filed under the name bacterium G500IX. RNAcentral's name for it is "bacterial SSU rRNA". It matches the Rfam family "Bacterial small subunit ribosomal RNA", at positions 264 to 868 of the family's 1533-position model. The record is from RNAcentral.
CUUACCAAGGCGACGAUCAGUAGCCGNCNUGAGAGGGUGAACGGCCACACUGGAACUGAGACACGGUCCAGACUCUACGGGAGGCAGCAGUGGGAAUAUUGCACAAUGGGCGAAAGCCUGAUGCAGCGACGCCGCGUGAGUGAAGAAGGUCUUCGGAUCGUAAAACUCUGUCCUUGGUGACGAAAAAAAUGACGGUAGCCAAGGAGGAAGCCCCGGCUAACUACGUGCCAGCAGCCGCGGUAAUACGUAGGGGGCGAGCGUUGUCCGGAUUUACUGGGCGUAAAGGGUGAGUAGGCGGUUGUAUAUGUCAGAUGUAAAAGGCACAGGCUUAACUUGUGUAAGCAUUUGAAACUGUACAACUUGAGUGCAGGAGAGGUAAGUGGAAUUCCUAGUGUAGCGGUGAAAUGCGUAGAUAUUAGGAGGAACACCAGUGGCGAAGGCGACUUACUGGACUGUAACUGACGCUGAGUCACGAAAGCGUGGGUAGCAAACAGGAUUAGAUACCCUGGUAGUCCACGCUGUAAACGAUGAGUGCUAGGUGUUGGGUAGCGAUAUUCAGUGCCGAAGUUAACACAAUAAGCACU